UGGUUAAAAAGCUCGUAGUUGGAUCUCAACAGCCUUGNAAGCAGUUAACUUUGUAGUUUUACUGCUUUAUAGGCUGUGCUUUUGCUGGAGGUUUAGGGGUGCUCUUGAUCGAGUGUCUCUGGAUGCCAGCAGGUUUACUUUGAAAAAAUUAGAGUGCUCAAAGCAGGCUAAAAUGCCUGAAUAUUCGUGCAUGGAAUAAUAGAAUAGGAUGUCGAUCCUAUUUUGUUGGUUUUCGGGACUCGACAUAAUGAUAAAUAGGGACAGUCGGGGGCAUUUGUAUUCAAACGACAGAGGUGAAAUUCUUGGACCGUUUGAAGACAAACUACUGCGAAAGCAUUUGCCAAGAAUGUUUUCAUUAAUCAAGAACGAAAGUUAGAGGUUCGAAGGCGAUUAGAUACCGCCCUAGUUCUAACCAUAAACGAUGCCAGCUAGCGAUCUGCCUGCGUUUUUACUGUAGACUGGGCAGGAAGCUUCCGGGAAACCAAAGCAUUUGGGUUCCAGGGGAAGUAUGGUUGCAAAGCUGAAACUUAAAGGAAUUGACGGAAGGGCACCACCAGGAGUGGAGCCUGUGGCUUA
Molecule: ribosomal RNA, 576 nt
Filed under: uncultured marine eukaryote
Lineage: Eukaryota
Description: SSU rRNA
Rfam family: Eukaryotic small subunit ribosomal RNA
Source: RNAcentral